Molecule: non-coding RNA, 6527 nt
Organism: Equus caballus (horse)
Lineage: Eukaryota; Metazoa; Chordata; Mammalia; Perissodactyla; Equidae
Source: RefSeq, a predicted model, not a curated record
UUGUAUGUGGGUCACUGCCACAGCAUGGCUGAUGAAUGUUGUAGGUCCACACUUGGGAUCUGAACCCACAAGCCUGGGCCUUCAAAGUAGAGUGCACUGAACCCAUCCACCAUGCCACGGGGCUGGCCCCUAGAGUUUCAUAUUUCAUCAUUGAAUUCUCUAGCAGCAGAUGUAUGUACAGGAACUUGGAGAAAUACAUCCAAAUGGAAAUAUGGAGUGAUUAGAGACCUGUUUAUACAUAGCCCUUCAAGUCUUCGCAUUGGAGAGAGGUGAAUAUUUUACUCUGGAGUCAGAUUCACUUACUUUACCUCGAGCCUCCAGACUAACACAAGACUCUAUUGACUUGUCCCAGGUUGUGAGUAGACUAGGUUUGCCAUAAAUACAUGGUAGAAUGAGGUGUGGUAUUAGAAGAACAAAAGUAGACCAGAGAGGUGGAGUUGUCUAAGGUGACAAUGGUUCAUUCUUUCAUGGAAGGUGUGUGAUCUGGAUAUCUCUAAUUACAGUCCAUUCCCUUGAAUACAGAGGCAUCCCUGGAGCUUCACAGGAUCCAUAUAUCCUGUGGAAUUGAAGAUUUAGUUGUGAGCCUUUACAGGAGUGAUAUGUAGAUAGGCCAACCUUUUCCAAUGGAAAGUUACAGUGAUGAAGUAGGAGGAGCUGGAUUUAGGUAGAAAAUUUUGAGUCUUUCUAAGUCAGGCACCUUCCAGUGUCAUAAUCUCAAUGGAGUUCAGGCACAGUCCCACAGUCCUACUUAGGGGACAGCUCUGUGAGAAAAAUGCCCACGAAUGGCACAAAGGGGUGCUAACUUUCUAGAUCUGCAUGAGUUGGGUUAGGACUGAAUAGCCAAAAACAGGAAUAGGAAGGGCAUUGUUUUGUAUCAUUUCCUUGUUGAGAUGCAAAUGGUCUUGGAACAUCAUUUUGGGAUGGUGUAUCUCUCAGCAUCAGAGUCUGGGAGGAAGAACAGAGAGAUGGAAAAUUUGUAGAGUAUCAACACCGUGUGAGUAGAUUUCAAAGAGGGUAAUAUGAAAUUAUAAGACGGAGGCCUAAGGAUCAAGAUUAGAGAAAGAUAUUUAGAAAUAAAUUCUGCAGAAGAGGCUAAGUGAAUGAUUGGGUAUGGAGCAAUCACAUUGAGAGCAUUUUUUUUACUGAUGUUGUACUGCCUCAAGAUAGUCCAAGCUUGAGGACUUUGCUCUCAAUAGUUGCCUGGAAUAGCAGAGGAAUGGAAGAGAAAAUCUCUCUGUAGAAUUUUCUUAAGAAAUUCAAAAUUUAACUUGUGCAUUGACCUUAUAAGGGAAAUGAAAAUGCACAGAAAAGCCCUUUGGGUGCUAGUUUCAGAAGGGAAAUACUAGAAAAUAGAAAAAAGCCACAGAAUUUACAGAAAAAAUAGGAAAUUCCAUGCUUAGUGGAUAGUCGUAUUUAACGAAGUUUGGAACAUAUGAUUUUCCAUCAGAAUGUCAGUAACAACAUUUAAGUGAACUUAGGUCUGGAUGUCCUGUAUUGAGUAAAAACGGCAGCUGCUAAUUUCUGUGAGUUCAAUUAGGGAGACACAGGGGACAAUUAGCUUGAUCUUAGAAAGAUGGCACUUGUUGCUUAUCCAACUGGUUCAGGAUGAUUUAAUCAAUAGCAGAUAGGGAUGGAUUUGCUUUUGGGAGAUUGUUGUCUGAAGACUAGGUUGGAGCACAUAUUCCUAUGGUGAAUAUUUCCAGUCCAGUACACUUCACAAAGUUCUCUGGAUUGUUGUUUUCUAUUGUUUUAGAUUGUUCUCUUUUCCUAUACCCACAGCUAACUCUCAGUCUUGGAAACUGGCAUCGCCAAGAGGAUGGGUCUUGGAUCCAUGGCUAUUCCAGAGUCAAGGCCCUGACAGUCACCAGUGCUGCUUUAAGGGCAGAUAACGUGUGGAUAACAAGAAGUGACAGGGUGAUGUGAAGUACUGAUCAGGUAUCACUGACAUACAGUAGAGUCAGCAUUAGAACGAACAAUUAUGGCUGAUGAAGGCCUAAAAACCAAUCAAUCUGUCUUUAAGUUCAUCUUCCCAAACUGCAAAGUGAAGCAUUUAGACAAAUGUCUGUAGAGAUUUGAAUUCAGAAAUUCGAUAUGGAAUGGCUCCGAUAACUCUCUUUGCAACAGAAUCAACAUGAAUCAACCCAAAGAAUGCUGUUUAAAGAAAUAUCUUUUGUAGUCCCCAAAUGUGGCUACAAGAGCAUGAGGAAAGGCCAGUUUAACCCAAGGAUGAAUAGCAGUGAGUGAGAGGCCAGCAGCUAGGGAUCACCUCUUCUGGUCUGGUCAACUUCCUGGCAUCCUUUCAGGGUCACUGAAAAAGGAGGGGUGGCUACCUGUUGUGUUCAUCACUGGGGGUACAGUAGGCAGGCUGAGGAUUUCCCUGGGAAAUGACACUUUACCUAGACGGUUUUUGUACAGGUCUCUGUGGGUUUUGUAUCACUGUGGUAUCCCACUCCUCACAGUGUUACUGAGUUUUACAAAAACCACCCCUUGGUUUCUCCCUAUGUGGCCUUUGAGAACUCCUGGGGCUUGAUGCUUUCUCCAAGUCAAGCAAGAUCAAAGGGUUUUGGCGGUUAGGUGCUGGCAGCCUCACCCAGGUGCUUCUGUCUGAAGCUCUACCAGCUGGCUAGAUCUGCCCUGCAUUUUGCCACUAGAAUGGACUUUCAGAAAUCAUCCUGCCCACUCCCAUCUGUGCUUUCUUGCCAGUCUACUCUCACAUGGCUUCCCACAGAGGAAUUCGUCAUAUAUCUGAAUGUCUCAAGUGAAUUCUAUGUCCUCUAUAUUAGGUGGAAAAUGUUUGUAGUUAGUGUAAUAUCUCCUGUUACCUACUCAUCUUCAGAAUCACCUCUGCCUACCCCACUUUACACCUGAGCAGGGUUAUACAGUUUACAAAGGGCUUUCACAUAAAUUGAAAAUGUUCUCCUCUCCAUGGACUCUCUGGUUGCUAAAUUCAUGGCCUGCAGCCCAUAUGGUGCUUUGUGUGGUUUACAAAAGAUAAGCCCUGCUGUGUGAGUGCAGAGGCAGCCCUGAGAGUUCAAGCUUGGCAAUGAGAUGGCACCUUUGUGUGCCUUAUAAACAUUCUCCUUUAUCCAGUUGAUGCUGCUCUGCACCAGGGCCUUGGCUCGGCAGGCAGAAAAUGGGAGGAAUUUUAGCCCCACUGUCCUCUUGGCUGAGCACCCAUGUGCAAGGCACAAUCUGUGCAACUAGAGACAGUGGCUCCUGACAAAUUCUAUUGAUGCUUUUUACUUAUAUUCUUGUUUGACCUCUGAGCUUUGACAUAGGCAUUCUCAUUUUGAAAACUGUCCUCUGGUGCUCUUAAGAAACCUGUCUUGGUUCGCCUUUGAUCUCUGUGUCUAUCACUGUGAAAAUAAAGUCGUAUGCUAGGCUUACUGAGAGUGAUCUUACUAAAUGUUAAUUUAAUAAGGAGAGUGUGAAUUUUGCUGUUGUUGUUAUCAAAAGGGAGCACGAUUGAAAAAAGAUUGACUCCACACUUCCCGUGGUGGAUCUUACCUAAAUCCAUGGAUUAAUGGAUAACAUUUUUAUCACAAUUCCACUUACAAUCAUUGUGACAAUUCCUUCCCACCUUACAUUAGACCCUGCAUGCCUGUCCCGUAAACUCAAAGCAACUUCAUCUGCAUAUACAGAGUCUAACACUCAUUUGCUAGUUAAAAACCCAAAAAACAAAGGAGAAGAGGAAAAGAAGAAAUGCUAUGUUCUUGGUAACAAACAAUGUAAUAGAGGAUGGCUUAGGGCAGAAAGAAGGACAAUGUGGGCCUCGUGGGGAGGGCCAGGUGAGAAAGAAGAAUUGUAAUUUGCACUCUUGAGUAUAGCUGGUUUUAUGUGCUGGUCUCUGAAAUGGCAAAAGGUGGGUGGUUACUGUGUUGAAUAAUAAAUUAAGCUUCUGAUUAAUCCCUGUGAGACUCAUUGACUCCCUCCUGGCGCUGGUGUACAGAUGUUCCCAAGCAACCCUCAGAAAGUGGUUUGAAUAGAACAAGUUAUAGGCAACACAAAGUUGGGAAUGAAAGGCAAUUAAAAUCUUGAGUAAUACCAAAACUUAAACUAUGAAACCUGUGGGUCUGGGCCAGUGAAUUUUAUAAUCCUGUGGCUGUGGCAGAGAAUUUGAGGAUGAUGCAUCCAGAUGAAAAUACAGAAGUUAUGGGUCCCAAUUUUCACUCUCUCUCUGCAACAGAAGUACACCUUCAUGUACUUUGUCACCUGACUUUACAGGGCAUCCUACUACAGGGAGAGUACAAAUCCCACUCCAUUGACUUUGGGCCUUGGCCAUUCUUUGAUCCAGAGAAUGUGGUUGGAAGUCACAGUGUGCCAGUUCUAAGCUAAGGCUCUAAGAAGCAUCCCAUCAUGGAUUUCCAUGAGCACUCUUGAAGCCAAGUUCUGCUGGCUUGCAGACCAAUGAGCAAAAACAACAUACAUUUGAUGUUGUAAGCAACUGAAAUUUUGGGGUUGUUUUUUAUAGAUUGUAAUCAUAGCAGAAAUAGAUGAUUCAUACUGAUGCUAACCAUGGGGGGGACCCCAAGUAUGAAAUUGUAUGCUUAAAAUUUCUGGUGGCUCCCCUUGUCUUCAAGAUAAAAUGGUACAAAACAUGGUUUUUUGCUUACCUCCUGGGCCUACAUCUUGUACUUUUCCACUUGCUCCCUUACUCAGCUGCAUUCAACGACUUGCUUUCAGAAGGCUCCAUGUUCUUUCAAACCUCUUUGCCUAUGCUGUGUGAUUGUUUUGCCUGAGAUGCCCUUUCCUUCUUCUAUUCUCCAAUUUGGUUCUUAACCAACCUCCUUAGAUCCUGUUCAUUUUCUGGUCUUAGCUUAUCUGUUGACUUCCCUGGGAAGUCCUUAAUGGUGGUGUGAGGGAUCAGAAUUGGCCACCCCAAAAUCUGUCUCUUUGGCUUGAUUAUUUUUAAGAACAAAAGACUCUGAAAAAACUUUGACCUUUCCCCUAACUGCCUGAAAGAAUUUAAGAUAGAAGGCCUGUUCCAGGAAGGAACUGAUACCAUAAGAUAACUAUAGUAUAAUGUAAAGUCAGUGUGAUAGGAAGGUACCAACAAGCCCAUUUUUAUCAAAGUUUUGCCUACAGGUGGCUCUGCAAACACUUGUUUAACAAACACUUGCAUUUGCAUCUCCAUGUAAAUUGUCUUCCUCCCUUUUGAAGACCCAAACCACUACCACAACACCCUCCUUUUCUUUAGCCGAACAUGGUAUUUAAGGUGGCAGCUUUGGCUUUCCUGGGUUUCUCCCAUGUAUACAUGCUAUUAUAUUUUGUUUUAUUUUUUCCUGUUCUUCUGUCUCAUGUCGAUUUAAUUUUUGGACCAGCCCGAAGUAUCUAGAGGAGAGAGGAAUUGUCUUCCUCCUCUCCAGUUUGGUGAUGAAGGUGGAAUAAAACUUCACUGGCUGGACACUGCUUGCUCCUGGACUACUGCAACUAAGAGAUCCUGGAUCCCUGACAAGAGCUGGCAAGAGAUUUAAAAAGAGCAAUUCGACUUGGUGUGUCAACUGGUGAUGGAAAUCCCAGGAUGAGGGGAUUAAUCCCUGUGCUCUUGGAUCAAAAUAUGCAGGGUCAAGAGAAAAACGAAAGAGAGCCCAGGAUGUGACUCUUCCCAAUGCUGAGACAUACAGAGUGGAUUACAGCUGAGUGUUUUUGAACAAAGGCUUAAUAAACUUCAACCUCCGUGGUACCGAGUACUGAAGUCACAGUGAAAUACAGCAGUACAAAAACCCUCUUCUUCUUUUUCACUGUUUCUUGGCAUUUUGCCAUCACCAACCUCUGCCAUCGGAAUACCUCAAAAAUCUUUCACCAAUGCUGUUAUUGUGGUUAAAUGCUAUAAAACUCACAGGCACAGAAUGAUUACAAUCAUACAAAUCAAUGAGUAAAACACUAAAAACCUAAAAAAUUAAUGGGCAAAGGGCAAAUGCAGAAAUUCACUUAUUGAUCAACAAACUUUGAAAAAUGUUUUAACUCUCUGGUAAUAAAAAUGCAAAUAAAGAAUUAAGAAACCAUUUUUUUUUGUACAGAUAUCUAAGCAAUCCUUUUAGAAAAAAGUGAUGUUCUCAAUGCCGGCAAGAUGUUGGUAACAAUAUAAAUUGUUGUAUUUUUAUUGGAAACCAAUUAGUUUAUACCAACAGGGUGAAAAUAUUUAUACUAGUUUGAGCAAAUAGUAGCACUUUGGCAAAUUGACUUUAAGAACAUACUAUACCUGUUUGAAUAUAAAGUAAGGUUUAUCAUUGUCAGAGAAAAGAGAAUCCCCAUAAAAUGGAUUCCUUAUAAAAAUUACAAAAAGCAAUAUUACAAUGCUUUCACGCAAUUAUUUUAUUUUGCACAAUUAAGUAGAGUUUAGCGAAGACACAUUAACCUGGGAUGAUCUCAUUCAAUGCUGGUUCAUAGAUACUCACGCAAGUCAGCUGAUGAGGUUAGUAAAAAGGUGACUAAGUAAUUUAACAAAAACUUAGUAACUAUUCUUGCAAAUAUGUCUUUGAAAUUACAAAUAUUCAAUCUUGUUUAAAUAAAUCUUUUAAAGGAAA